Molecule: ribosomal RNA, 497 nt
Filed under: uncultured bacterium
Lineage: Bacteria
Description: partial 16S ribosomal RNA
Rfam family: Bacterial small subunit ribosomal RNA
Source: RNAcentral
GAUGAACGCUGGCGGCGUGCCUAAUACAUGCAAGUCGAGCGAACGGACGAGAAGCUUGCUUCUCUGAUGUGAGCGGCGGACGGGUGAGUAACACGUGGAUAACCUACCUAUAAGACUGGGAUAACUUCGGGAAACCGUAGCUAAUACCGGAUAAUAUUUUGAACCGCAUGGUUCAAAAGUGAAAGACGGUCUUGCUGUCACUUAUAGAGGGAUCCGCGCUGCAUUAGAUAGUUGGUAAGGUAACGGCUUACCAAGGCAACGAUGCAUAGCCGACCUGAGAGGGUGAUCGGCCCCACUGUACCUCAGACCCGCCCCAGACUCCGCCGGGUGGCAGCAGUAGGGAAUCUUCCGCACUGGGCGGAAGCCUACCGGAGCAACGCCGCGUGUGUCAUGCGGGUCUUCGGCUCGUAAAACUCUGUUUUUUGGGAAGAACAUAUGUGUAAGUAACUGUGCACAUCUUGACGCUACCUAAUCAGAAAUCCCCGGCUAACUACGUG